CAGCAGCCACGGUAAUACGAAGGGGGCUAGCGUUGUUCGGAAUUACUGGGCGUAAAGCGCACGUAGGCGGAUAUUUAAGUCAGGGGUGAAAUCCCGCAGCUCAACUGCGGAACUGCCUUUGAUACUGGGUAUCUUGAGUAUGGAAGAGGUUAGUGGAAUUGCGAGUGUAGAGGUGAAAUUCGUAGAUAUUCGCAGGAACACCAGUGGCGAAGGCGGCUAACUGGUCCAUAACUGACGCUGAGGUGCGAAAGCGUGGGGAGCAAACAGGAUUAGAUACCCCCGUAGUCCCUGUCUCUUAUAC
This 301-nucleotide ribosomal RNA is filed under the name uncultured bacterium. Its description in RNAcentral is "partial 16S ribosomal RNA". It matches the Rfam family "Bacterial small subunit ribosomal RNA", at positions 509 to 807 of the family's 1533-position model. The record is from RNAcentral.